Molecule: ribosomal RNA, 253 nt
Filed under: uncultured bacterium
Lineage: Bacteria
Description: partial 16S ribosomal RNA
Rfam family: Bacterial small subunit ribosomal RNA
Source: RNAcentral
UACGUAGGGGGCUAGCGUUGUCCGGAAUCAUUGGGCGUAAAGCGCGUGUAGGCGGCCCGGUAAGUCCGCUGUGAAAGUCGGGGGCUCAACCCCCGGAUGCCGGUGGAUACUGUCGGGCUAGAGUGCGGAAGAGGCGAGUGGAAUUCCUGGUGUAGCGGUGAAAUGCGCAGAUAUCAGGAGGAACACCAAUUGCGAAGGCAGCUCGCUGGGACGUGACUGACGCUGAGACGCGAAAGCGUGGGGAGCGAACAGG